GCUUGCCCUGGCGUUUAUGGCAAGGGGGCUUAUCCUGGUUAUGCUGGUAACUUGUUGGUCGAUUCUACUACUGGUGCCAGCUAUAAUGCACAUGGCAGUAAUGGAAGGAAAUACCUGCUCCCUGCUUUGUACGAUCCUUCAACAUCAACUUGUUCUACUUUGGUCUGAAAAUGCGAGGGCAGUGAAAGUAGGAUCACCAGGGGAUCAGUAGAAAAUUAUGCAUACGCUAUAAAUAGUGUGAGACUUUGUAAUUCAUUUAUUUGUUGAAUUUUUUGGCUUGUGCGGAUCGAUAAU
This 294-nucleotide long non-coding RNA is filed under the name Populus trichocarpa (black cottonwood). Its description in RNAcentral is "long non-coding RNA (PTRI_LNC000607)". The record is from RNAcentral. Lineage: Eukaryota; Viridiplantae; Streptophyta; Magnoliopsida; Malpighiales; Salicaceae.